GGAAGGUUACUCAAACGGUAAAGAGGCUUGGUUGGAAACCAAGUAGAUGUGUAACAGCAUGUGUGGGUUCGAAUCCCAUGCCUUCCA
This 87-nucleotide transfer RNA is filed under the name Enterococcus faecium. RNAcentral describes it as "tRNA-Ser". It matches the Rfam family "tRNA". From Rfam's summary of the family: Transfer RNA (tRNA) molecules are approximately 80 nucleotides in length. Their secondary structure includes four short double-helical elements and three loops (D, anti-codon, and T loops). The record is from RNAcentral. RNAcentral also lists the same sequence under 21 other names. Lineage: Bacteria; Bacillati; Bacillota; Bacilli; Lactobacillales; Enterococcaceae.